This is a long non-coding RNA of Xyrauchen texanus (razorback sucker), 199 nucleotides long. RefSeq lists it as uncharacterized. Lineage: Eukaryota; Metazoa; Chordata; Actinopteri; Cypriniformes; Catostomidae. The transcript is spliced from 3 exons. The record is from RefSeq and is a predicted model, not a curated record.
AUGAGACCGUGUCGCUGGACUCCAGAAGGCUCGAGGAUCCUGACACUGGGCAGCCUGAUAAGCAGCCUGGUAACAUAAUAUCUCUACACAACGCAUCUUAAGAGACAGAUCGAGCUGUCAGAAGUCAAGAUUGAUGUGAACAAAAGAAAGCUGCAGGACAUGGACCUUGAGAUGCAAAUUAAACGCAAGACACUGAGGA